Dromaius novaehollandiae (emu) is the source of this 1886-nucleotide long non-coding RNA. RefSeq lists it as uncharacterized. NCBI's taxonomy places the organism in Eukaryota, Metazoa, Chordata, Aves, Casuariiformes, Dromaiidae. The transcript has 3 exons. The record is from RefSeq and is a predicted model, not a curated record.
CAGGGCAGUGCUUUCCUUUGAGAGCACAGCCCUAAAUGCGAGCUCUUCCUGUGGUCUGCCUGUCGGUGGCAAAAUUUAAACAUCAGGAGCCUGUGAGGAAGCACAGGGUCCGAAAUCAAUUCUGCAGUCAUAUGGCUCAGGAGACUGUAUUUCUCUGAAAGAGACACCUCUCAGAAGUGUCACAAGCAUGGGAUGAAGCCAGAAGACAAUGAACAGGGUCUUCAUCACUGCUGCUCUUGGGUGUGUGUGUAGUGAGAUGAGGUCACUAAUUGGAUCAACAGAAGAGAUUUUUAAAACAGUUCACACAUGCGGAGCGCACACCGGAGCAAUAACUGUGGCAUCGCUGACAGCUGGGUCAUGGCAAUGGCUUGACGUUUCAGCCCAACCCCUUCAGCAGAACGAACCGUAAGAACUUUGGGCCACAUUCAGCACGGCUGAUUUAAGAAGAUAUGAUUUAUGCCGCCAUCCGCUCUUGUCUCAGUGUGCCUUGGAAGAUGACAAGAGUCUUCUGCUGGAGCACUGUCUAAUUAAUAUUGCUGCAGGAAGAGAGGGAAGCUGUUAUCCCGCGGUCGGAAACCAGAGGGAAGGCAGGACACCCGUGCUGAAGCAUCUGGUUUGAAGCGAUCGGAUGUGUGCCCACCGACCGGCUGCUGCGCACGCGGGCAGCUCCCGCUGCUUCGCUUCGCUUCGCUUCCCUCCCGCGCCAGGCCUGCGAAAUAGCCACAGCCUCCUUAUUCCGCUUUCUGCCAGCAUCUCUGCGCUGCCUUAACGCGAUCCUCGGUUUUGUUCUUUUUAUCGCCUCACAAAGAACAAAAAAGUGAAGAGAUUUUGGGAUGGUUGCACUUCAUCUCCAGGCGCUGAGGAGAUUACGCCUCUGGCUUUUAAAUCGCUUGAUUUCAAAAGAUUAUCUGUUAACUACCUAUAUCGCUACGAUCUUAUCAAAAAGCAAUUGUUCAGAAAUGCUUUAGAAGGCAUUAAUUCAGAAUUAGGUAACUCUUUAGAGAACAUUUCAAACGCACAAGUAUAUUACGAGUUUAAUUUUUGGAAGAAAAUUAAUCUUUCGUAGUUCAUAGUUUUGUGCAAGUACUGCGUGUAGCUCUUCUGAAAGCAAAUUGUUAAACGGCGUUGCCAGCAUGAUUCAGCAUCAGUUAGGAAUGGCACCAUUGCCAAAAAAAGUGAGUCAGGCUCAAGCAGGCGUUAAAAUUACAGGCGAGAUGCGUCCAUCCACUGAUUAUGAGGCACCAUUUGAAAGUACGAAACAUGACAAGUCGUCUGAGUCAGAGCCACGUUUUGUUCCCCAGGCAAAUAGAAAUGUAAUGGUUUAGUUAAAAGUAUGAAGCUUUAAAAAUAGAUAGGCUCUUCCUUAGGUGGUAUAAACAAAUAGUGGUCCCUAAUGCUUCAUGUUGUUAAGCAGCUAGGUUCACAGAUACAAUAAGGGCUAACGUGGAUGUGCAGGAAAUAACAACAACAAAUUGCCUGCAAUUUUCAGCUGAAACGGUGACAUCUUCUGCAGCCAGGAUUAUUCCUCCAUUUUUUUCCUGAAAAAGGAGAUAUUUUAACUGUCACUUAAAAUAUACGUCUGAUUUUUUUUUCUUUCCUUGUCUGCUCAGCCCUUUUUCUGCACGCCUGGCGAGGUCAGCUCUGCUCUUCGGGGGGCGAGUUUCAGCACUGGAACCAGACUGGAUUGCUUCUUGCCGUAUGAAGAUCCACAUGGACUGCUGAAUUUGGCCCACAGCUUGCAUCGGAGCUCGCUCUUCUGGAUUUGUGCGAUACGAGGAAUUCUGAGAACAUCAACAAUUCUGCAGAACGUGAGCAUCUUUCCUAAUGGGUCUUGCUGUAACACCUGAAUUAAAAAAGAAAGGUGAAAUAAAAGGCUAUAAUAGGAA